UUGGAUACUCAUUUGCAAAGCGA
This 23-nucleotide non-coding RNA is filed under the name Cricetulus griseus (Chinese hamster). Lineage: Eukaryota; Metazoa; Chordata; Mammalia; Rodentia; Cricetidae. The record is from RNAcentral.